Molecule: long non-coding RNA, 451 nt
Filed under: Setaria viridis
Lineage: Eukaryota; Viridiplantae; Streptophyta; Magnoliopsida; Poales; Poaceae
Description: long non-coding RNA (SVIR_LNC006109)
Source: RNAcentral
UUUCCGGAGCUUCAGGUAUGAAGCCGUUUCGUUCAUCACCGUUUGGUAGGGCUUCUCAAGAAGCCGGUGGUGAAGCCGGUUGAGAAGUCCUACCAAAAGGGGCCUAAAUGUUGCAAAAUGGUUAAUAAGAGAUUUUUUUCCAAUUUUAGAACGGGUACUCUCAAAAUAAAAUAGCAGAGGAUACACUUAGUAGCAUUAUUCCCUAACCAAGCAUUCAAAUCAGCGACCUUUGACUUUUUCACACUCAUCCGCUUCAUUUCUAGCUUCCUUGCCCGUUCCAUGUCCCCUUCCUUCCAUUUUGACGAUUGCUAUCUCCACCAUCUACCAUACGCGAACAACUUAAUUUUGCAAUUCAUUUAACAGUCGUCACCACUACUAGCCAUGGCUACCACAAUAUUCCAAACCUUCUACUAGUGACAUAAGCUACACCCACCUCCCACACUUAAACAAG